This 887-nucleotide long non-coding RNA is filed under the name Linum usitatissimum (flax). RNAcentral describes it as "long non-coding RNA (LUSI_LNC002390)". The record is from RNAcentral. Lineage: Eukaryota; Viridiplantae; Streptophyta; Magnoliopsida; Malpighiales; Linaceae.
UCACCAAUCACUCUGCUUUUUUUUCUGUAUGUUUAUCUCUUUCAUUUGUGUAGUGUAGUUUUCUUCAUUUGUAACAUUGAAAGACAUUUCCUUUAAUGGUUGGGUAGAUAGGUAAACGAUAAAAAGUUUCGGUAAAUGUUUUAUCGUGGUAGGAAUAUUUUUUUGUGAGCGAUAAAAUAGUGAGAUAGUUAUUUUGGGGUUGGGAAACACUUGAGAGUCACUAUUUUUGAUCGGUUUGGAUCGCCUUGUAGCUACCUUGUUAUAGUGAAGAAGUGCUCGUAACUGUCCCUGCUGCUGUAGAUGUACUCUCCGUAUUGGAGGGGAACUACGUAAAUCCCGGUGUUAGUUACUUACUGUUUUGUGCUUGAAAAUUUUGAGAAUAUUUAUUGUAUAUUGGAUUAUUAAUAUUACCACAGUAAAUUGGUCUAAGGAGGUUGGCUUAAUUAUCGUCAUUAUGGUAUUGCGGUGGUAAUCACCCACAUAUAGUGAUUUUAAGUGUGGCGGACUAUCGCCACUUCCAACCUGCCUGAGAUAUAUUUACUGUGUGUGGUUUAUUAGUGCAUUAUAUUUACUUUAUUCUCGUAUGUUGCGCCACCAAUAAUUAUUUUUUUUUUCGAAAUACACUUAACAUUCAACUAGUUUAGAGACGUUAGUCCAAAUUAGCGGUUGUUAGGGAAUGGGGAAUUGUUCAAGAAUACUAUGUCACUAAUUUGUGUAUGCCAAAAAUGAACUUGCCUUGCAAUUUAAGUUUGAACAGGAGUUUGUCGUGAUUGCAUCCUAUAUCUCAUAGCAUGAAGGGGGAUUCUUUUACACUACUCAUCUUUACUAUUUGUGUUGGUUGUUUGAAUUGCGCUUGAUCAAUCCUCUUCGAGACCCUAAUACAUUAA